Molecule: ribosomal RNA, 253 nt
Filed under: Leyella stercorea DSM 18206
Lineage: Bacteria; Pseudomonadati; Bacteroidota; Bacteroidia; Bacteroidales; Prevotellaceae
Description: Prevotella stercorea DSM 18206 partial 16S ribosomal RNA
Rfam family: Bacterial small subunit ribosomal RNA
Source: RNAcentral
UACGGAAGGUCCGGGCGUUAUCCGGAUUUAUUGGGUUUAAAGGGAGCGUAGGCCGUUUGGUAAGCGUGUUGUGAAAUGUCGGGGCUCAACCUGGGCAUUGCAGCGCGAACUGUCAGACUUGAGUGCGCAGGAAGUAGGCGGAAUUCGUCGUGUAGCGGUGAAAUGCUUAGAUAUGACGAAGAACUCCGAUUGCGAAGGCAGCCUGCUGUAGCGCAACUGACGCUGAAGCUCGAAAGCGUGGGUAUCGAACAGG